CCUUAAUGGAGAGUUUGAUCCUGGCUCAGGACGAACGCUGGCGGCGUGCCUAAUACAUGCAAGUCGAGCGGAUUGUUCCUUCGGGAACAGUUAGCGGCGGACGGGUGAGUAACACGUAGGCAACCUGCCUGCAGGAUCGGGAUAACUACCGGAAACGGUAGCUAAGACCGGAUAAGUGAUUUUGACGCAUGUUGAGAUCAAGAAACACGGAGCAAUCUGUGACCUGUAGAUGGGCCUGCGGCGCAUUAGCUAGUUGGUGAGGUAACGGCUCACCAAGGCGACGAUGCGUAGCCGACCUGAGAGGGUGAACGGCCACACUGGGACUGA
Molecule: ribosomal RNA, 327 nt
Filed under: Paenibacillus sp. 1_12
Lineage: Bacteria; Bacillati; Bacillota; Bacilli; Caryophanales; Paenibacillaceae
Description: bacterial SSU rRNA
Rfam family: Bacterial small subunit ribosomal RNA
Source: RNAcentral